Molecule: small RNA, 66 nt
Filed under: marine eukaryotic metagenome
Description: Makes More Granules Regulator RNA (mmgR)
Rfam family: Makes More Granules Regulator RNA (mmgR)
About the family: SuhB later renamed mmgR (makes more granules regulator) was a putative non-coding RNA found multiple times in the Agrobacterium tumefaciens genome and related alpha-proteobacteria. Other non-coding RNAs uncovered in the same analysis include: speF, ybhL, metA, and serC.
Source: RNAcentral
GAAGCCCUACGUGGGCGUUUCCUCCCUAAACUUGGGCCACUUUCAUUUGGAAGUGGCCUUUUUUAU